UACGGGGGGGGCAAGCGUUGUUCGGAAUUGCUGGGCGUAAAGGGCUUGUAGGCGGCCAACUAAGUCAGACGUGAAAUCCCUCGGCUUAACCGGGGAACUGCGUCUGAUACUGGAUGGCUUGAGAUUGGGAGAGGGAUGCGGAAUUCCAGGUGUAGCGGUGAAAUGCGCAGAUAUCAGGAGGAACACCGGUGGCGAAGGCGGGUCUCUGGGCCGAUACUGACGCUGAGGAGCGAAAGCGUGGGGAGCGAACAGG
RNAcentral lists this ribosomal RNA (253 nucleotides) under uncultured bacterium. RNAcentral describes it as "partial 16S ribosomal RNA". It matches the Rfam family "Bacterial small subunit ribosomal RNA", at positions 524 to 776 of the family's 1533-position model. The record is from RNAcentral.